This 460-nucleotide ribosomal RNA is filed under the name uncultured bacterium. RNAcentral's name for it is "partial 16S ribosomal RNA". It matches the Rfam family "Bacterial small subunit ribosomal RNA", at positions 338 to 795 of the family's 1533-position model. The record is from RNAcentral.
CCUACGGGGGGCAGCAGUGAGGAAUAUUGGUCAAUGGCCGGAAGUCUGAACCAGCCAUGCCGCGUGCAGGAAGACGGCUCUAUGAGUUGUAAACUGCUUUUGUCCGAGGGUAAACCUGAAUACGUGUAUUCAGCUGAAAGUACUGUACGAAUAAGGAUCGGCUAACUCCGUGCCAGCAGCCUCGGUAAUACGGGGGAUCCAAGCGUUAUCCGGAUUUAUUGGGUUUAAAGGGUGCGUAGGCGGAUGGAUAAGUUAGAGGUGAAAUGUCCGAGCUUAACUCGGGAACUGCAUUUAAUACUGUUGAUCUAGAGAGUAGAUGAGGUAGGCGGAAUGUAUGGUGUAGCGGUGAAAUGCUUAGAGAUCAUACAGAACACCGAUUGCGAAGGCAGCUUACCAAUCUAUAACUGACGUUGAGGCACGAAAGCGUGGGUAGCAAACAGGAUUAGAUACCCUGGUAGUC